This 217-nucleotide unclassified non-coding RNA is filed under the name Hevea brasiliensis (rubber tree). Lineage: Eukaryota; Viridiplantae; Streptophyta; Magnoliopsida; Malpighiales; Euphorbiaceae. The record is from RNAcentral.
AAAAAGUUAAUUAAAUACAGAAAACAAUAUAGAUGAAAAUGCAACAGAAUUUCAAACUAAAAGGGAAAAAGAUUUAAAAAAAAAUGACAUUUUAAAAGUCUAAGUCAUGGAUAUAAUUAAGUGAUUAGAUGUAUCAUGGGGACCGACUUAAAAAAUUAUGUGAAUAUUUCUACAACUUAAAAAAAAAUAGGGUCAUUACCCAAUUAUGGUCCCUUCA